Molecule: RNA transcript, 5332 nt
Organism: Sciurus carolinensis (gray squirrel)
Lineage: Eukaryota; Metazoa; Chordata; Mammalia; Rodentia; Sciuridae
Gene: Kcp
Gene name: kielin cysteine rich BMP regulator
Exons: 43
Source: RefSeq, a predicted model, not a curated record
ACCGCGAGCCGAGCCGGGCAGAGUGAGCAUGGCCGUGGCCGUGGCCCGGGCCGCGCUGCUGCCCCUGGUCCUGCAGCUCGCGAGCCUGGCGCGCGCCGCCGCGGGAGGGGAGGUUGUCUCCAGGGAACGCUCUGGGCUUGCUGGCAUCCAUGACUACAGGCAGCCAACACCCACCCACUCCCUGGUCCCUGCUGGGCAGCCCCUGGAGGAGCGGCUGGGGCAGCUAGAGGCUGAGGUGCUGGAGCUCAGAGAGCAGAACAGGGACCUGCAGGAGAGGGUGAGGCGGCUAGAGUCCUGUGAGUGCCACCUGGCCUCUCCCCAGUGCUGGGGACUGGGGCGCACCUGGCCUGAGGGGGCGCGCUGGGAGCUGGACGCCUGCACGGCCUGCAUCUGCCAGGAUGGGGCUGCACACUGUGGUCCCCAGCCCGACCUGCCCCAUUGCCGUGGCUGCAGCCGCAAUGGUCAGGCCUACAGCAAUGGGGAGACCUUCUCCCCAGAUGCCUGCACCAUCUGCCACUGCCAGGAAGGAGCCAUAACCUGUACCCAGAAGCCGUGCCCAAGAGGACCUUGCCCUGAGCCAGGAGCUUGCUGCCCACACUGUGAACCAGGCUGCCCUGAGGGCCACAGGGCUGGGGAAACAUGGCAUCCGGAGUCCUGCGUCACCUGCACCUGUCAGGCAGGGACCGUGCGGUGCCAGGGGCCCUCGUGCUCUGAGCUCAACUGCCUGGAGAGCUACACCCCACCUGGGGAGUGCUGCCCUGUCUGCCGGCCAGGCUGUGAGUAUGAGGGACAGCUGUAUGAGGAGGGGGCCAGCUUCCUGCCCAACUCCAAUCCUUGUCUCCAGUGCUCCUGCCUGAGGAGCCUGGUUCGUUGUGUGCCCCUGACGUGCCCACCCAGCCCCUGCCCUGAGCCAGUCUUGAAGCCUGGGCACUGCUGCCCGACCUGCCAAGCCCCAGGCUGCACAGAAGGUGGCUCUCUCAGGGACCAUGGCCAAGAGUGGACUGCACCUGGGGACCCCUGCCGGAUCUGCCAGUGCCUUGAGGGCCACAUCCAGUGCCGCCAGCGAGAAUGUGCAAGCCUGUGCCCGUACCCUGCCCGGCCCCUCCCAGGCACCUGCUGCCCCGUGUGUGAUGGCUGUUUCCUAAAUGGGCGGGAGCACCGCAGCGGGGAGCCAGUGGGCUCCAGGGACCCCUGCUUGCAAUGUCACUGCGCUAAUGGGAGUGUCCAGUGUGAGCCUCGGCCCUGCCCGCCUGUGCCCUGCAGACACCCAGGCAGGACCCCUGGGCAGUGCUGCCCAGUCUGUGACAGCUGUGAGUACCAGGGACACCAGUAUCAGAACCAGGAGACUUUCAGGCUCCAAGAGGGUGGCCGCUGUGUCCGCUGCUCCUGCCAGGCUGGUGAGGUGUCCUGUGAGGAGCAGGAGUGCCCGGUUGCUCCCUGUGGCCCGCCUGCCUCUGGCCCCCAGCUCUGCCCAGCCUGUGUGCUUGAUGGAGAAGAGUUCGCUGAGGGGGUCCAGUGGGUGCCUGAUGGUCAGCCCUGCACUUCCUGCUCCUGCCAAGAUGGCGUGCCUGUGUGUGGGGCUGUGCUCUGUCCCCCAGCCCCCUGCCAGCACCCCACCCAGCCCCCUGGUACCUGCUGCCCCAGCUGUGAGAGCUGCACCUACCAUGGCCAAGUGUAUGCCAAUGGGCUGAACUUCACGGACGCAGACAGCCCUUGCCAUGCCUGCCGCUGUGAGGAUGGGACUGUGAGGUGCUCUUUGGUCGACUGCCCUCCCGUGACCUGUGCCAGGCCCCAGAGUGGACCCGGCCAGUGCUGCCCCAGGUGUCCAGACUGCAUCCUGGAGAGACAGGUGUUUGUGGAUGGCGAGAGCUUCUCCCACCCUGGAGACCCCUGCCAGGAGUGCCAGUGUCAGGAAGGCCAGGCCCUCUGUCAGCCUCGAGCCUGCCCCAGGGCCCCCUGUGCCCAUCCGCUGCCUGGUACCUGCUGCCAGAACAACUGCAGUGGCUGCGCCUUCGGCGGGAAGGAGUACCCCAACGGAGCAGAGUUUCCCCACCCCUCUGACCCCUGCCGUCAGUGUCACUGUCUGGGCGGCAACGUGCAGUGCCUGGCCCGCCGCUGCCCGCCGCUGCCCUGUCCAGAGCCGGUCCUGCCGCCGGGAGACUGCUGCCCGCAGUGCCCGGCCGCUCCCGCCGGCUGCCUGUGGCCCGGGAUCGCCGUCCCUGCCCGCCACCAGGAACACUUCUCCCCGCCCGGCCACCCCUGCCGCCGCUGCCUCUGCCUCGACGGCUCGGUGUCCUGCCAACGUCUACCUUGCCCGCCGGCGCUCUGCGCCCAUCCGCGCCAGGGAUCCUGUUGCCCGUCUUGCGAUGGCUGCCUGUACCAGGGGAAGGAGUUUGCCAGCGGGGAGCGCUUCCCGUCACCCAGCGUUGCUUGCCACGUGUGCCUUUGCUGGGAGGGCAGCGUCAGUUGCGAGCCCAGGGUUUGUGCCCCUGCGCAGUGCCCCUUCCCUGCCAGGGGCGACUGCUGCCCUGCCUGUGACGGCUGUGAGUACCUGGGGGAGUCCUACCUGAGCCACCAGGAGUUCCCGGAUCCUCGAGAGCCCUGCAACCUGUGCACCUGCCUGGGAGGCUUUGUGACCUGCAGCCGCCGGCCCUGUGAGCCUCUGGGCUGCAGCCACCCACUCACUCUGCCGGGGCACUGCUGCCCGACCUGUCGGGGAUGCUUUUACCAUGGGGUCACUGCUGCCCUCGGAGAGACCCUUCCUGACCCACUUGACCCCACCUGCUCCCUCUGCACCUGCCAGAAGUGGCAGUGUGGCCUCUCCCAGGACGGUUCCAUGCGCUGUAAGAAGAAGCCAUGUCCCCCAGUUGUCUGCACACACCCCUCUCCAGGACCCUGCUCCUGCCCUGUUUGCCAUAGCUGCCUCUCUCAAGGCCGGGAGCACCAGGACGGGGAGGAGUUUGAGGGGUCCUCGGGCAGCUGUGAGCGGUGUCGCUGUCAGGCUGGCCAGGUCAGCUGUGUGCGGCUGCGGUGCCCACCCCUGCCCUGCCGGCUGCAGGUCACAGAGCCAGGGAGCUGCUGCCCUCGCUGCAGAGGCUGCCUGGCCCAUGGGGAGGAGCACCCUGAGGGCAGUAGCUGGGUGCCCCCCGACAGUCCCUGCUCCUCCUGCGUGUGUCACGAGGGAGUCGUCACCUGUGCUGGUGUCCAGUGUGUCAGCUCCUGCGCCCAGCCCCACCAGGGCCCCACUGACUGCUGCCCUCGUUGCUCUGACUGUGUGCAUGACGGUCGGAAGUACGCGCCUGGGGAGCGCUUCCAGCCGGGGGCGGACCCCUGUGAAGUGUGCAUCUGUGAGUCACAGCCUGAGGGGCCUCCCAGCCUUCACUGUCGCCGGCAACAGUGUCCCAGCCUGAUGGGCUGCCCACUCAGCCAGCUUCUGCCCCCUGACCCCCAGCACUGCUGCCCCACCUGUGCCCAGGCUCUGAGUAACUGCACAGAGGGCCUGCUGGGGUCUGAACUGGCUCCCCCAGACCCCUGCUACACCUGCAAGUGCCAGGACCUGACAUGGCUGUGCACUCGCCGGGACUGCCCUCAGCUCAGCUGUCCCUUGUUGGAGCAUUAUAUUCCCCCUGGGAGUUGCUGCCCCGUGUGCCAGGAAUGUGUGGUAGAGGCCAGUGGCCGGAGAGUGUCAGAUGGAGAGAGCUGGCGGGACCCCAGCAACGCCUGCAUUGCUUGCACCUGCCAACGGGGCCACGUGGAAUGCCACCUCGAGGGAUGCCAGGCCCUUUCCUGUCCCCAUGGCUGGCUGAAGGUGCCCAAGCCUGGCAGCUGCUGUGAGCAAUGCCAAGCUCCCACCCAGUCGUGUGUGCACCAGGGCCGUCAGGUGGCCGUCGGGGAGCACUGGGCCGUGGACGCUUGCACCAGCUGCUCUUGCGUGGCCGGCACGGUGCGCUGCCAGAGCCAGCGCUGUCCGCGGCUCUCUUGUGGCCAGGACGAGGCUCCUGCCCUGAGUCCCGGCAGCUGCUGCCCUCGCUGCCUGCCUCGGCCCGCUUCCUGCAUGGCCUUCGGAGACCCCCACUACCGCACCUUCGACGGCCGCCUGCUGCACUUCCAGGGCAGCUGCAGCUAUGUGCUGGCCAAGGACUGCCAUGGCGGGGACUUUAGUGUGCAUGUGACCAAUGAUGACCGGGGCCGGAGAGGUGUGGCCUGGACCCAAGAGGUGGCAGUGCUGUUGGGAGAUGUGGCUGUGCAGCUGCUGCAAGGCAAGACAGUCACGGUGGAUGGCCACCCAGUGGCCUUGCCCUUCCUGCAGGAACCCCUGCUGUACGUGGAGCUGCGGGGGCGUACUGUGAUUCUGCACACCCAGCCUGGGCUCAAGGUGCUGUGGGAUGGGCAGUCCCAGGUGGAGGUGAGCGUGCCAGGUUCCUACCGGGGCCAGACUUGUGGGCUUUGCGGGAACUUCAAUGGCUUUGCCCAGGAUGAUCUGCAGGGCCCUGACAGGCUGCUCCUGCCUACAGAGGCUGCUUUUGGGAAUAGCUGGCAGGUUCCAGAAGGGCCAGGGCCUGCUCGGCCCUGUUCUGCUGGCCGGGAGGUGGAUCCAUGCCGGGCAGCAGGUUACCGUGCCAGGCGCGAGGCCAGUGCCCGGUGCGGGCUGCUGAAGUCCUCCCCGUUCCAUCGCUGCCACGCUGUGGUGCCUCCGGAGCCCUUCUUUGCUGCCUGUGUGUAUGACCUUUGUGCUUGUGGCCCUGGCUCCUCAGCUGACGCCUGCCUCUGUGAUGCCUUGGAAGCCUAUGCCAGCCAUUGUCGCCAGGCAGGGGUGACACCUGCCUGGCGGGGCCCCACACUCUGUGUGGUAGGCUGCCCCCUGGACCGUGGCUUUGUGUUCGAUGAGUGUGGUCCACCCUGUCCCCGCACCUGCUUCAAUCAGCAUGUUCCCCUUGGAGACCUGGAAGCCCACUGCGUGAGGCCCUGUGUUCCUGGCUGCCAGUGCCCUGCAGGCCUGGUGGAGCACGAGGCCCACUGUAUCCCGCCUGAGGCCUGCCCCCCAGUCCUGCUCACCCGGGACCAGCCACCAGUCAGGGGCAGCUCCUCUCUCCACCCUGAGCCAGGAAGAUGAUGACCAGGACUCAUCAGACCAGAAGGUUCCCCUUGGCGAGCAGCAGCUGCCCUUGCCAGAGCUGUGGAGGCAGUGCCCUGUUCAAGCAUGGGGAGCCUGAGCCAGCGUCCUGCCGAGCCCCCGGUGGUGUUGAAACACAAACAGUCCCUUCUGGGCCACUCUAAGAACUGACAGCACAGGGACUCCAUGUCUGAGGAGAAGAAGAGAGCACAGGCUGUG